CAGACCACCUCAGGUCUUGCUUGCCACGUAAUGACAUUAUCGUUUCAAACACGUGCGUCCGAGCGUGUGGACAUUCACCCUCUACCCAUAGUUUCUUCAUUUUUUUGUUCUCCAAUUGAAUUUCUCGAUUUCCCAUCUUCCUUUUCUGUUUGGUUCCCGCGAAUCUCCAAUCAGACAAGACAAAGGGUCGACCCGUUAAUUGAGUUGCGCUGGAAAGCAGUGUUUGAAGGCUUUCAACUUUGUGUAUUGACAAGCUUCAUUUGUCAGCAGGAAAAGAUAUGGAGAAGGUUGAGCCCACUUUAGAAGUAUUCUAUGAGGAGAAGAAGCGGGUCAAGAACCCUUGGGUACCAGUUGGGGCGUUGUUGACUGCUGGCGUGCUCACGGCCGGCUUGAUCAGUUUCAGGCAAGGCAAUUCUCAGCUGGGGCAGAAGCUAAUGAGAGCUCGUGUGGUUGCCCAAGGUGGCACAGUGGCGCUUAUGGUUGGCUCCGCAUACUACUACGGGGAGAAUCCGUGGAAAAAAUAAAGUUAAACUAUUUAUGCCUUAUAUGUUAUCAUUUCCCUUCUUUCUUACAAUUACAUUUUGUUGCUUCAUGCAUGUUGAAGCAAAAUUAGGCAGUAGAACCAAUUAUAUGUCUCUGAUAAGUGAGUUUCAUAGCUUGCGCUAAAUAAAUAAACUCUAAUAUUGGAGGGUUACCAAAA
Non-coding RNA from Prunus avium (sweet cherry), 700 nucleotides. The record is from RefSeq and is a predicted model, not a curated record. NCBI's taxonomy places the organism in Eukaryota, Viridiplantae, Streptophyta, Magnoliopsida, Rosales, Rosaceae.